GGAGAGGUGGCCGAGUGGCUGAAGGCGGCGGUCUCGAAAACCGCUAUUCAGAGUAUUCUGGAUCGUGGGUUCGAAUCCCACCCUCUCCGCCA
RNAcentral lists this transfer RNA (92 nucleotides) under Candidatus Aminicenantota bacterium. Its description in RNAcentral is "Candidatus Aminicenantes bacterium tRNA-Ser". It matches the Rfam family "tRNA". Rfam says of the family: Transfer RNA (tRNA) molecules are approximately 80 nucleotides in length. Lineage: Bacteria; Candidatus Aminicenantota. The record is from RNAcentral.